This 326-nucleotide small nuclear RNA is filed under the name Octodon degus (degu). RNAcentral's name for it is "7SK RNA (ENSODEG00000024380.1)". It matches the Rfam family "7SK RNA". From Rfam's summary of the family: 7SK was discovered as an abundant small nuclear RNA in the mid-70s but a possible function has only recently been suggested. Lineage: Eukaryota; Metazoa; Chordata; Mammalia; Rodentia; Octodontidae. The record is from RNAcentral.
GGAUGUGAGAGUGAUGUGGCUGAGACAUCUGUCACACCAUUGAUCACCAGGGUUGAUUUGGCUGAUCUGGCUGGCGAGGCGGGUGUCCCCUUCCUCCCUCAAUGAUCAAUGUGCAUCCCUCCUGAAGCUGCGUGCUCAGUCCAAGAGGACGACCACCCCCAACAGGGGAGGAUCAUUCCUCGGUCAAGGGUAUACAAGUAGCUGCACUCCCCUGCUAGAACCUCCAAACAAGCUCUCAAAAUAAUCCUUUCUUCUCUUUAAAGUUAGCUUAUCUUGCACAUCGGUUAUGGUAAUGGAAAACUGCUGAAAUACUUGUUGCUAGUAUC